AAGUUUUUAGCAAACUAAUGCAUAAGAAUUAGAAUCUUAAAAUGUAUCUAUUACUUUUACUAU
Molecule: transfer RNA, 63 nt
Filed under: Harpactocrates apennicola
Lineage: Eukaryota; Metazoa; Arthropoda; Arachnida; Araneae; Dysderidae
Description: tRNA-Leu
Source: RNAcentral